CACAGAGUUAAAGACCCUUGAUCUAAUCUUACCCUCUCAUUUCAUAGGAAAAUGAGGCUUAGAAAGAUUGCCAUGGGGCAAAUGUUCUUCUGUGGAAGUGUCACAUAGAUAAUGGAUGAAUUCAACCUGGCUAACAACUUAAAGAGGACCCCUUUGUUCUCUGACGCUCAGGAGUCUUCGAUGUUUUCUGGCCAGUUGGAAGCACAAUUUCAGACAGGUCACUUGUCACCUGGACCCUAAUGGGUGAAAAGAAGUCGAACACACACUCUACAGACUGUAUUUUUUCAGCCAUUAGGAAGAGGUUGACAUCGAGCACUUUGACCAGGAUUUGGGAGAGAGCUGUUAAGAGGUGUUUGUCCCACAGCACCCUCUGGCUACUGGUGAGAUGUUUGCGGAAUGAAUCGGAGCGCUGACAAGCUUAACUGGGAGGGAGGUUUUUCUCACUACGACAUCCUAAGCCAUAUUCAUUUGAUAUAUAUAAAAAUUCAUUUAUCAACGGAACACAAAUUCUGUAUGUAAACGGGGCAUCAGCACACUUUACCGUGUAAUUUUACUGUGUAAUAUAAUAAAGGUUAUAGGAGCA
Molecule: long non-coding RNA, 583 nt
Filed under: Monodelphis domestica (gray short-tailed opossum)
Lineage: Eukaryota; Metazoa; Chordata; Mammalia; Didelphimorphia; Didelphidae
Description: lncRNA (ENSMODG00000047822.1)
Source: RNAcentral